RNAcentral lists this ribosomal RNA (253 nucleotides) under uncultured bacterium. Its description in RNAcentral is "partial 16S ribosomal RNA". It matches the Rfam family "Bacterial small subunit ribosomal RNA", at positions 524 to 776 of the family's 1533-position model. The record is from RNAcentral.
UACAGAGGGGGCAAGCGUUGUUCGGAAUUACUGGGCGUAAAGCGUGCGCAGGCGGUUAUGCAAGACAGAUGUGAAAUCCCCGGGCUCAACCUGGGAACUGCAUUUGUGACUGCAUGGCUUGAGUGCGGCAGAGGGAGAUGGAAUUCCGCGUGUAGCAGUGAAAUGCGUAGAUAUGCGGAGGAACACCGAUGGCGAAGGCAAUCUCCUGGGCCUGCACUGACGCUCAUGCACGAAAGCGUGGGGAGCAAACAGG